Molecule: RNA transcript, 2047 nt
Organism: Bufo bufo (common toad)
Lineage: Eukaryota; Metazoa; Chordata; Amphibia; Anura; Bufonidae
Gene: MRPL23
Gene name: mitochondrial ribosomal protein L23
Exons: 4
Source: RefSeq, a predicted model, not a curated record
UAGGUGGCGCUGCGUUUUCGCAUCAGGAAGUGUAACCCCCCCCUCCUCCUCUUUCCCAGCGCUGUGUUGAGCGCUGGAAAGCAGGACACGGCGAGGAAAUGGCCAGCAAAGUGAUGUGUGGGUAAAUGCUUUUGUUUGGACAUGCAACAGUAAUUUACGGUAAAAUUCCUUUAAUCUGGAACCCAGUACUCCGGAAAUCCCGAUAGCCUGGCAUCAACUCAAAAUGGUGGUGAAUCGGACUUUAAUCCAGUGGCGACUAAUAGUUCAGAGUCUUACGAGAGCAGAGGAGGAAGAUUGAACAACAGGAAAGAGAACAGAGGUUCAGAGGAAAGUCUGAAUAAGGCAGAGAAAGCAGCAACAGGGCAGAGAACCAGCGCACAGCCAGCAUCCAGUAUGGAGACCAACUCCAUCCAAGGUCCACCUGUGAAAAGGAAACAUGUCACACUUACUAUUCCACAGAAACUUGAAAUAAUCAGGAGACUAGAAAGCGGUGAAAGCCGCACUUCCAUUAUGGAGCAAUUCAACAUUGGUUCUUCAACCAUCUAUGACAUUAAGAAGAGAAAGGACCAGUUAUGUUCCUUUGUAGCAUCCAGCGAAACAAUGAGAGGCCUUAUGAAGCGACAAACCUUGAAGCAACCCAAAUUGGCUCAGUUGGAUAAGAUGGUGUACAAGUGGUUUACGGAAAUGCGAUCUCGAGGAAUAUCUGUGACUGGGCCCAUGAUCAUCGAGAAAGCCAAAGCUUUCUAUGCAGAAAUGGAAAUAACCGAAAAGUGCAUAUUUUCUGACGGAUGGUUAAGAAACUUUAAAGAACGCCAUGGCAUAAGGAAGAUGUCUGGCACGGGUGAACUGUGUGCAGAAGAUCCAGAAUCUGCAGAAGGCUAUAAUGAAUUUUUUAGUGCCCUCCUAAAAGAACAAAAAUUGCUACCGACCCAGAUUUAUAACGGGGAAGGCUUUGUAGAAGAGUGGAUGGUCGUCGAUAAGGACACACCUGUUGUUCAAUACAGCGAAGACAACUUUCCAAAUGUUAAAAUUCUUGAAGUCUCAGGCCCAUCUGACGAAGAAGAGGAGGAGGAGGAGGUGGUUGUGGCAGAACCUAAAAAGAAAUACACCUGGAAUCAAGCUUCAGAAUUCAUCACAAAGUUUGUUGAGUUUGCCGAAACCAGUAGUCAUUACAGUGCAGCAGAAGUCAUGAAUCUUCGGAUCAUCCUGGAUAAUUUUUACCAGAAACAAGCCUCAUUCAUGACCGAGUUACACCACAAGAGCAGAUGCAAAAAGCGGCCCAAGAAAGCACUAAAUUCUACUCCAACUACCUCCAUCAUUGUGAAUACUAUCGAUCCCCACUCUCCUGAACGAUCUAUCUCACCCGUGUCUAUAGAAUAUAAAGUGGUGGACGUAUCGGACGAUGCAGUAGAAGAUAUCAAAUUAGAAGACUCAUCGGAUUAGCUGUGCAGCCCAAAUAUUUUAUAGGGUCACUCCUUGUUUACAGUAACUUCUCAAGUUAAUUGGCCCAGGAACCCUGUAACCAAAUCUCACGUACCUACGUAACCUGGACCCUAGAGUAAGUGAAGCUUAGUUAUGGGGUUCCUGGGCCAAAGAGACCUCAGAACUGAAUCUUCAGUUUUGGGUGGCAUUACUAUUUAAGUGUAUGUUUUAAGUCUUAUUUAAUUUUGUACUAUACUUUUAGGUUUACUGAGCUUUUGAUAUUUGACAAGUUACUGUAAUCCAUAUUUUUUUAAUAAAAAUAAAAUAAUACUAAAGUGAUAGUAGCAUAUUUAGUUUUUGGACUGCACACUAAUCUUUGAGCUACACGUCUUCCGGAGGGAUAUCGGACCCCUAAAGAUAUCCCCUUUAUCAGCUUGGAAAUCCACAGCUACGCGUUUUCAGGACCAACUUCUUUAUGACUCUGGUGAGACCUGGUAAACCGCAACCCCCAGACACUGUACAGUUCCGUAUAUCUAUGGAGAUGACAAAGUUAGACGUUCAGAACUAUCUGCAGCGGAUAUACAACGUGCCUGUCGCUGCUGUCCGAACUCGCAUCCAGUAUGGU